CCUUCCUAUCGGGGCCGCUGGAAGAAGCCAAACACGGUCACGUGGAGCCUGGAGAAAGAUUGUCAACAUUCAGGAACUGACUCUAACGCGUCCUCUCAUUGGCUGCUGGGAAUUAGAGGCGGGGCCAACCUGGGUCUCCGGUUUUCAGGCGUGGGAUAAGUGGAUGGCGUUAUCUAGAAUGGAGAACACUGAUGCAGAGAGUCUUAGGCGACCCCUGUGAAUGCCUUCAGUUAACAGGGUACCUUUUCCCACCAGAACAGGAAGGCCUGUUCUCCAGCCUGCUCGGUUUUCUAAAUGUGUGAUGCCCUCUUGAUUGUGGUCCCGGCCUGUAAGAUGCCCCAGGACGCUGCGGGAUACCCCGUGUGGUUCGGCAAGAUGAUGCGUUUGCCAGAUCUCCGCGCCCGCUGCUCACGGAGGCCGAGAACACCGGAGCCUCUGCACCCUCCUCCUCUGAUUUUCAUUUCCUCUGUCAUUCGCAGUCUAGAGAAAGAGGGUGUGAAACACUGUUGCGGUUCUUAAAGAGAGGAGUGUGUCCCUUCUGCCAUUUUUUUCCUACUGGUGGAAUAUCCAAUAACUUCAUUUUUAACAGAAAUCAGCAGCUGGAGAUUUGGCUGCUGUUUUUCAAGAUCCGCGUCUUUAAUUGGCAGCAGGGUGUUCUUUAGAUCGUUUUCUCCCUUCUUCUUCGGUUCAGAUUAUGUCACAUGACCAAUGAAGGAAUUGGGGGGUGGGGGGUAGGUUGAUUAUCCCCAGUGCCGCCACAGGCACGAGGGGUUUAGACGUUCUCUGGCAUAGUCACCGCCGCCACCACCCCAGGGUGCAGGAAACAGACCCAGACCGACCUUUGUAAAGCAAACUUGCAAUACUUGUAACCGUAGAAAGAAUUCAAGGAUGUGAGACCUUCAUGAAGGCCAGUAACUUGAAUGAUUUUUUUUUUAUUUAAACACUGAUGUACUUUUGGGGGGGUUGAUGGUGCAAGCAUAGCAUAAGGAAACGGGAUCAAUCCUCGUGUUGCUGAAGGAGUCUCACUCCUCGUUACAAACAAGAAGGUGUCCGUCUUUAUUACCAACCUGCAGCAGAGAGAGAUAAUGAAGCAGUUGUCGUGGCCCAAUGGAAGAAAGACGGGGGGGAGGGGGAAGAAAAGUCUCUUAUCGGUGUUCCCACUUGCAAAAACACCCCGAGAAUUUUUCUCCUCUCCCAUUUAAAUAUAACGCUAACAACCCGGCUGGAGUCGAUAAACGUCUGCACGGGAGAGGAAGGAAGACGAGUCAGCGAGGGGGCACUUGCGUGUAAUAACGCCUCUCCCCCCCCCCCCCGCGUUCAUUUCCCUAUUUGCAUCCCCUGUUGGCUGAAGAUCGUGUUAAUAAAUAACAAUGAAAGGGAAGCGCAUCUAUCUAGAGGGCUUGUCGGCAACAUUUAAAAAGCCAAUAGAGUUUAUAAUUCUACUCUAUCAUUUCUUAUUGAUUAGAGUAAUCAAGAUAAAAAGCUAGCCGGGCUCGGCGAAGUUCAGAGGCAUAUAAUUAAAGAUAAGAGUCAGUUAAUUCUGGAGCAGGGAGAGAGAGGGUGAUGGUGCCUGCGCUGAAGAGUUCAUUUGCAUGAGAUGCUGAGCCCAGUAACAAGAGGACAAAAAUCACUAAUUAGGGCUCGCAGAGGGCCUCCCGCGCUCGUCAAGCACCCUUCGCAGCCGCCGCCAGGAUGCGCAGGGCGCGCUUUUAUGUAAAUCCGGGCCAGGACACCGCAGUCGAAAGGUUGCCUGUCAGCAGAAGCGGCCACUCCGGCUCCAAAGAAAGCGGCAGCCGCCAGCGACGGCCCACUGGCCGCCUGAACAACCCACGCCGCUGAGUGGGGGAGCCCUUGGCCCUUCCAAAGCCCCCCCCCCCCCGCCCGCUUCAAUUCUCUCCCCGCGGCUGGAAAUCACGACUGAGCAGUCAACAUUUGCUGCGUGGUUUCAAAACAAAAAAAAACCCUCGUCCCCAGCCCGGUCACCCCCUCCCCAAGUUGAGCCAAAAUUGGCCAUUGCAAAAUAGUUUUUUGUUGAGUCAGUGUCGAGGAUACGAUCAGGAUACGUGGGUUUAUCAAAAUUCGACGCAUGUUCGGAAUCCGACGCGGCCAGAAGGAAAGAUUUCUGGAAGACUCAUUUACAGUCAGUCUGGGAUCAUCCACCUACUUCCUCUUAAAAAAAAAACUUACUUGACUGCACUUUGGCCACUUUAGGUAGCCAGUCACUGACAAUUUCUUUAUAGGAAAGCAGGCUCUAACAAAUUCCAGCGUUUAUUUUAAACAAUUCUUUUUUGGGGAGGGGGGUGCCAUUUAAGCGCAUCUCCCCACUUUCCUUUCUGGCCUGCUAACGGUUCCAGAAAAGUAGGUGUAAAUAAGCCUUGUUAUAUCAGGGCGAAUGGGUUUCCUCCGGCAUUCGACCUGCGAAGAUGUAUCUGCACAAACGUUUGAGUGGCACAGACCUCUUCAAGAGUCUAAAAGGAAGCUGCAGCCCUUCACCAAUACGACCACGAAGGGGGAAAAUGCUUCAUCAGUUGCGCACAUCGCUUAGUUGCUAGAGACCCAUAAGAAAGCAAUUCAGCAAGUUAGCAUUUGCUGUAGGUUGGACUGCCCUUUUUUGAAGCUCAAAACGGGAUAAAAUCGUCAAGUCCACCUUCUCCUAGGAGAACUUGGUGCUCAAGAACAGAAGCCGCCAAGCAGGACGACCAGCAGAAAUUUGCAUAUUUCCUCACCGUUUGUAAUGCUAAAGGGGGAGGGGCGGAGAGAGAGAUUUAAACUACACUAUGUAGUAGACCUGUAGAAAGUAGAUUUCUCCCUAAAUCCUAUACAGUAAAACAAAAUAAAAAUCAGUUCGUUCUCUGUCCCAUGUGCAGGUGGACCGAUUUAAUUUUAACACUAAAGCUGAAACUUCUAAAAACAGAAAUGGAUCAAAAUGAACUGUAAUAAUUUAUUAUGAGUCAGAAAGUUCAAUUAACGUAUGUUUAUUUGUAGUACUUUGGAUAGCAAUGUUUUAAGGUCAAAUGAGUACUGUGAAAUUAAUGUAUUUUGACGCUACCCUCUUUUCUCUCCCCCAUGGCCCAGAUGACUUAAGAAUGGCCCAAAAGAAGCAACAUCCCUGCAUUUUAAAGGAACCCCCGAGCCCACCUGCUGAGAUAGU
This is a long non-coding RNA of Sphaerodactylus townsendi, 3151 nucleotides long. RefSeq lists it as uncharacterized. The transcript is spliced from 3 exons. NCBI's taxonomy places the organism in Eukaryota, Metazoa, Chordata, Lepidosauria, Squamata, Sphaerodactylidae. The record is from RefSeq and is a predicted model, not a curated record.